RNAcentral lists this ribosomal RNA (458 nucleotides) under uncultured bacterium. RNAcentral describes it as "partial 16S ribosomal RNA". It matches the Rfam family "Bacterial small subunit ribosomal RNA", at positions 338 to 795 of the family's 1533-position model. The record is from RNAcentral.
CCUACGGGAGGCAGCAGUGAGGAAUAUUGGUCAAUGGGCGAGAGCCUGAACCAGCCAAGUCGCGUGAGGGAGUACUGCCCUAUGGGUUGUAAACCUCUUUUGUCGGGGAGCAAAAGCCGGACGUGUCAGGCUGUGAGAGUACCCGAAGAAAAAGCAUCGGCUAACUCCGUGCCAGCAGCAGCGGUAAGACGGAGGAGGCGAGCAUUAUCCGGAUUAAUUGGGUUUAAAGGGGGCGCGGGCGGAUUUUUAAGUCAGCGGUCAAAUCGUGGGGCUCAACCCCAUCCAGCCGUUGAAACUGGGGAUCUAGAGUGUGCGAGAGGUAUGCGGAAUGCGUGGUGUAGCGGUGAAAUGCAUAGAUAUCACGCAGAACCCCGAUUGCGAAGGCAGCAUACCGGUGCACAACUGACGCUCAGGCACGAAAGCGUGGGUAUCGAACAGGAUUAGAUACCCGGGUAGUC